RNAcentral lists this transfer RNA (77 nucleotides) under Buchnera aphidicola str. Tuc7 (Acyrthosiphon pisum). RNAcentral describes it as "tRNA-His". It matches the Rfam family "tRNA". From Rfam's summary of the family: Transfer RNA (tRNA) molecules are approximately 80 nucleotides in length. Lineage: Bacteria; Pseudomonadati; Pseudomonadota; Gammaproteobacteria; Enterobacterales; Erwiniaceae. The record is from RNAcentral.
GGCUAUAGCUCAGUUGGUAGAGUGCUGGAUUGUGAUUCCAGUGGUCAUGGGUUCAAGUCCCAUUAGCCACCCCAAAA